Cyanistes caeruleus (blue tit) is the source of this 674-nucleotide long non-coding RNA. RefSeq lists it as uncharacterized. NCBI's taxonomy places the organism in Eukaryota, Metazoa, Chordata, Aves, Passeriformes, Paridae. The record is from RefSeq and is a predicted model, not a curated record.
ACAAGGGGUUUGGGGUGGGGUAACUUCAUCCAGGGCUCACACUGCCAAUUCCCCAACACAGGGGGUCAAAAUUCACACACUUGGCUUACUAUAAACUAUGCCUUUCCUUUAACAAUGCUUAUCUGAAACUAACUCUUUGUCUCCUUGAGGCAUCUUACAACACCUCUCUACCCUUUUUAAGGAUGGGUCUUGCCCGUCCCAGAUACCUGACACAGGAAAUCUUUCAGUUACCAGAUACAGAGAGGAGUCAAUGAAAGACUUUUGUGGGUGCCUGACAUCUGGCCAGCAUCAAUCCAUGACACAAAUUUACAGUGUUUAAAACAGCAAGAAGAAGGAUGCCAUAAGAACAGAAUUCAGAGGUGUGCAAGAGGGCUUGAGUUCUACAGCAAGUGGAAGCUCUAGUUCUACACCAAGAAGAAGCAGCAUGUGGGACAGAAAUGAGCUGUCUGGCCUGAGACUACAUUUUGAACCCAGGUGUUGUAUGAUGUAUAUCAUCCUCUACUCACCUAUUCCCCAGUCUCCAUGAAAGAGAAGAGGGUGGUUAUCUGAGCCAGGAAUAAACAGCAGCACCUCCCUGGUCCAGGUGGAAAACAACCACACUGAAGGAUGAAAUGCCCAUCUGAAGACAGUCUUGUUGCCAGAAGUUCUAACAAAAACAAAAUCCCCAAUGUCUU